Orcinus orca (killer whale) is the source of this 6741-nucleotide RNA transcript. RefSeq lists it as uncharacterized. The transcript is spliced from 5 exons. The record is from RefSeq and is a predicted model, not a curated record. Lineage: Eukaryota; Metazoa; Chordata; Mammalia; Artiodactyla; Delphinidae.
AAUUUUCAGGGGGAUCACCGUUCCGUCGCGGCAACGUCCACCUCGAUCCCAGUUCCGCCCCGACCAAAAUUUCCCUCUUUCUUAGAGUUCUAGGCGGGCCUCUUUCCAGAGAGGUUUCUUAGGUCCGUUUUGGACCUAUCGAAGGUAUUUUACAAAUCCGUGUAUUUUCUUACUAAAUCUCCACCACAGGCCUGAGAAAUAGACACUGUAUUCCUAUCUUACAAAUGCCACCUUCUCAGGGAGUGUUUACCUGAACAUCUUUUGCUGAAAUUGCAGCCCUUCCACUCCCUCGAUAUAUACACUCCCUACUCUUUCAUCCCCUCUUAACUUCUCCCCAUUUACCCUAUACAUUUAACCUACAUUUUGUUAUUUUGUGAUGUUGACUGGAGAAAAAAGAAAUCACAAGGUGAGAGUUGUGAGUUAAGUUUUAUUUGUGGCAAAAUGAGGACCUGCUCUGAAGAGGUGGGGGGGCAGGUUGCUAUAUAUAUGAUUUUAGUGAAGGGGGAUAGGUGCAGUCAAGCACACGUUUUGGCAGAAGGUUGCUGCCAGUCACGAGGAACAGAUGUCUCUGUCAGUGAUUUUAGUGCUUUCCUAGAUUUAAGAUGCAAGAAAUUGGGCUCAUAAAGCCUUCUCCUGAAAAAGAUCUAACUUCCUGAAGGCCUGUUCUGCCAGUUUUUCCCAGAGCACAGAGUGCCACAUUCCUGAUCUCUUCCCUGAACUCCUUUCAGGGUGUGUUGAAGGUCAGUGACUGCAGUGGCUAGUGACGUCAUCCUCGUAGAGGCAGAUGGCGAGAGACAAUUUUUAGUUGGCACUGGGUACCUGCUAUCAUCCUAGAAUGUAAGGUCCAUGAGGGCAGAGAUUUGUUCUUGCGCACUGUUGUUUCAUAGCCUGGAAGAGUAGCAUAUUAUGUUCCAUGAAUGUUGGCUGAAUAAAUGAGGAAACAGCUUAGUUAAGUGUUUGGCCCAAUGCUGCACAGAAUAAUACCUGGGUCACGGUAUUGUUGACCUAGGUAUUGUUCUGCGUAUUUUACCAUUCGCUGAGACGAUGAAACCAACACAGAAGAAAGGAGCUCUGAGAUGAUUGCAGAGAUGGAAAUGAAGUCUGAUGACAUUGAGCAUCUAGCCCCAGACACCUGGGCUAGACUUUGCAGUCACUUGACCCAACACAUGAAGGAGACAUGCUUAUGUCUACCUGGAGGCCUGUACAGAAUCAUUCAUCCUGCAUCAUUCUGAGUAACCACCAUGAGAAACGACACAGGACUCACCAAGAGAACAAAAGAACUAUGCAGGCAGUAUACAGCAUGAUCUGACCCUCAUAGCGUCGUCUUUUCUGUAUUGGCAGUUGGUCUCAAGAACCAGUGAAAAGGUCGCUGCCGUAGACUCUGGCCCUGGGUCCACAUCAAGCAAACCUCCCUGAGUGAUUCCUGAACAGCAUCACCAAUGACUGACAGUCACUCUGCGUCCUUCCAGCUCUCCACGAGGGCCUGGUGGAGGAGCUGCCCAGGGACAGGGCAGAGGAAGAGAGUCCAUUUAAUGCCAAGGUGGCCUCAGGGGUAACUGAAAAUGGUACGUACUCUGGAAUCAAUCAUUUGCUUGGGGAAAAAAUGCUGAUGAUAAGGAAGGUGGGCUUUGUUUGCUGGCUUUCAUCUGGAGAGCCACCCUGAUUCUGAAUUCCUGCUGGGAACAAGGGCUGAGGAUGUGAUGAAAGAAGCUGAUUUCCCAGGCAAAGAACCAUGGCCGUUUUUCAAGAAGCAGUUUCAUUGCCUUUAAGUGGUGACAGGUUGUGUGCAUAGCAGUGGGCUGUUGUCUGUGUGAUCUGGGUGGUGUGAUUCUGAGUGUGCAUGUGCACAUGUGUGUGUCUGUGUUUCCCUAGAUUGCCUCCAGCAAGGCAACGGCCAGUGUCAGCUUCUAAAUGAAAAAUCCCAUCGCUACUGUUUCAUGUGAUUAUAUCUGUUUCAAAAUGUAUCAAAUUGUACACUUAAAAUGUGUGCAGUUCUUGUAUGGCAGGAAUACCUCAAUAAGCUCAGGGGAAAAAUCCCAUCACCAGCCAGGCAAAUGUUCAUAGGGUUCCAAGUGGACAAAAGUGUGUUUCAGAAUCACUGUGAUUGAGUCAAUGACAACUUCUAUUAAUAAUUCUCACCUCCGUCGAGCCCUUUAUAGUGUCUUCAGGCAGUUUGAUUGGUGGUGAAUGAAAAGCAGCCAUCAUUGUCCUUAUUUCACAUAAGAGAAAACAGAGGCUGGAGAAGGUGGGUGAAUUAUGGGGGGUCGCACAGCCCAUGGGUGGGAACUGGGUGAGGCAGUCUGGAGCCUUUGAUCCAGAGCCUCUGCACUUUCUCCCACACGUCUGCUGCCUGGGAGAGACUGAAAUUCUCCUUUGGUUUGGCAUCAAUUAUGAUUUUAAUCCUUGUUCCUAAGCCUCUUUGUGUGGGAUGCUCGCUGGACCUGAGAUGCAGUAACCCCAGCCCUUUAUCCCUCAGAUACUUUAGUAUUAAAUGGAUAUUUCCCCCAAUGAUGCUUCAUUCCUGCUUCUUCCCUUCUUCCCCCAAACCUUUAGAUUACAGGCGGUCUCAGCAUUAAACCUCCCCCAUCUCGGCUAUGGUGCUGGGGCAGGGUUCCUUCCUUUUGCAGGAGCUCCGGGGGGAACCCACAUGUCACUCCCGGUUCUGAAGGAAUCUGAGAAGGGAGCCUCCAGGAAGAGAUUCAGCCCAUCUUUCACCAACUGAGAUUUCAUAUUUUGCUUCAGGAAAUGUUGCCAAGAGUAGCAAGCGCCAUUGUCAUGUGGAAAGUCAGAACCGUCACUAAUGCCAGGCCUAGUUUCUGUGUUCUGGGCAUGAAACACUGGACAGAGAUCUCCUUCAGGGACCGAGCGUCAGGAGCUCCCUUCCUGGGAGGAUCAAGGGGAGGUUACGCGUUGAGAGGUGGGGAAAGAGGAACUCAGCAGUGGGAUAGGAACUUCGCCACUCACGUCCCUGUCAAACCUGCCAGAGGAAAUAGGGUCUGGGUUUCUUCCGAAGCCUUAACAAGUCAAGGGAGUUGUUUCAAGUCAAUAUAAAAUGAGACAAAGUAGGGUUUGGGUUUCCUUUUGGAUCAUGAAUCUUGUGUGGAAUAGAUUGUAUUUUAAUAGAAUUUGAUAGUCCUGUAGGCAUCAGUAUUUUUCCCUACAAAACAAAAAGAUGAAACUGCUAGACUGAAAGAUGUCACUGGUCAGAUCAGCGGUGGAAAGGCUAGUAAACUACUCUGCAAGGAGCAAGCAGGGGACAGGUGGUCACGUCUUCCCCCUCUUUGGAUUCUAGAGCUGCACUGCCCAGUCUGGUAGCCACCAGCCAGAUGUACCUGUUCAUAUUUAAAUUAAUUAAAUUAAAUCAAAUUAAGCAUUUGUUCCUUCAUCACACUAGACACGUUUCAAGUGCCCAAGAGCCCUAUGUUCAUACAAAUGAACUUAUUUACAAAACAGAAACAGACUCGAAGACUUAGAGAAUGAACUUACCGUUAUGGAGGGAAGGGUGGGAUGGAGGGAUAGUUAGGGAAUUUGGGAUCAACAUGCACACGCUGCUAUAUUUAAAACGGAUAACCAGCAAGGACCUACCAUACAGCACAGGGAAAUCUGCUCAAUGUUACGUGGCAGGCUGGAUGGAAGGGGCGUCUGGGGGAGAAUGGAUACAUGUAUAUGUAUGGUUGAGUCACUUUGCUGUGCACCUGAAACUAUCACAACAUUGUUAAUCGGCUAUAUUCCACUAUAAAAUAAAAAGUUAAAAAAAAGUUUUUGAAAAGAGCUAUAGAGGGCUUCCCUGAUGGUGCAGUGGUUGACAGUCCGCCUGCUGAUGCAGGGGACACGGGUUCGUGCCCCGGUCCGGGAAGAUCCCACAUGCCGCGGAGCGGCUGGGCCCGUGAGCCAUGGCCACUGAGCCUGCGUGUCCGGAGCCUGUGCUCCGCAACGGGAGAGGCCACAACAGUGAGAAGCCCGCGUACCGCAAAAAAAAAAAAAAAAAAAUCAGCUUUUAUUCCCUAAUCAGAACUUUUCUUGGGGGGAAUUUCCUUUGCUUACCUGAGUUGGUCUAAUUAUCCUAUGUGUCUAGAAACAUGGGCCUAAUAUUCAUAGUAGGAGUUUUUAUAUUGUUCUGUGGUCCACUGAUUAAAGAUGUGUCCUGUCUUUAAUGUGUUAGAUUCAUGAAAGCAGACACCAUAGCUAUGUUUGCUCUUUAAUAUAUGUUAGUCUAGAUCAUAACAAAAGAUAGACAUCGCAUCUAUUCUGAAUCAAGGAAAAGUAAUUUUAUUUAUUGCAGAAUAAUAUUGAAAUUAUAAACUUUUUUUUCUUUACAAUUCCCUUUCUCAUUUCAUCUUGCUGACUAAAUUCCAGGUUUUCAUUUUCCUAGUGUUACAACAAAUGAAUGGGUAAUGUUAGGAGUCCUGAGACAGUGGGUUAUCUUGGCCAACGUCAAGACAGAGCAAGAGGCAUCUUUCCCAGCCAGUCAGAGAUUUCCUUGGGCAUGAGUAGGGAUGCCUUUGGACCUCGAUGGCAAAUUAGAACUAGAACUUGCUCAGAGGAGAAGGGAAACUGGAGAAGAAUGGCUUUCUGGACUGCCAGCAUCUCCAGCUAGCCCUAAUUAUCAGAGUCUGGAGCAAAACUGCUUAUUCUAACAAGACUGUGGGUGGAGGCACAGGAAGCUUCAGAAGUGCCCCUGUUGUCUGGAACAGUGCCACUCACUUUGUUAGGCUCUCUGAUGAUUGGCUCAGUGGAAGAUGCUGGGACCUGUCUGAUAGUCAGACUGUGGGUUGUCAAGGACAAAAUGUCUGGGACCGGUUUUGCUAUCCCCAAUACAAGUUUGCAUGGAGCAAAGAGUAAACUCCCUUAGAAAAUCAACAAUUCAUAUUUCUCACAACUGAUAUUGUGGACUGGGAUAUUUACCAAACAUACAUUCAUCCAUCACAGUGGUUGUCCACACCCAGUGUGGGUUAGAAUCACCUGGGGGCUGAGAAACACUGCAGAUUUAGACAGUGGCGGUUUUGCUACUCUUCACGUGUGGUCAGGAACCAGAGGUAUCAUCCUGGGCUCAUGUCAGAAUGCAGAUUCUCAGGCUAGUCCAGCCCUAUAGAAACAGAAUCUGCAUUUUAAGAAGACCCCAGGUAAUUAAAUGCACAUUCAAGUUUGAGAAGCCAUAGUUAAAGCAGUGCUUCUCAAUAGAAAUAGAACAUGAGUCACAUGUGUAAUUUUAAAGAUUCUUGUAAACUUAUACAAAAACGACUUCAAUAAAAUAUGUGUUGAACUCAGUAUAGCCAAAAUAUUAUCAUUUCUCUAUGGCACUACCCCUGUUUUGAGUGCUCAGUGGCCACCAGUGCCUACCCUAUUGAACAACACAGAUCAAGGCAUGACCUAAAUACUAUAUCCUCUUAAAAAUCUCCAGGUGGUUCUAAUUCAUACUCAGUGAGAAACACCAUUGUUUAGGGGAUAAAAAUUUAGGCGCCAGAAUUCAAAUAAUGCCCAUAUUUAAUGGAGACCUUAGCAGAGUUGCUUUUUCCUGGGUCCUCCAUGGGGAGGAGUAGUUAGGACAGAUGCCUCACCUUGGAGCUUUAGCAUCCUUGGGUUAAACUGUGGAACAUUACUCAGGUGGGGCUCUCGCCAGGUUCCUCAACUGACCAUUUGUCUUGGUCUCAUUCUUCUCAGUGAGCACAGAGCAGAACGGGCACAAUGAACACUUCCAAUGGGGCUUCCUCUGUGUUGAAUUGAUGCACCAGAGGCAGCAGACAUAUCUGCGUUUUAGGUACGUAGGUUUUUCAAGAUAACCUAGGCAGAUGAGACAUCUACUUGCUUCUUUAAAAUGUUUAGCCAUAGUCACUUUCUGUGGAAAAAUGAGCAAGUUGUUAGUUUCCAUGAGUUGAAUGACCAUUAGUGCUUGGGGCUCUAUCCUUUUUACUUGUAUAGAUACAUCAGGUUCCUAAUAUGUGCCAUCCAUUGUGCUAGGUAAUGACAUAAAAUGUAAAUAUAAAUAUAAAUAUAACUGACCUUUGCCCCAGAACUUCUGGUAUUUGGAGUGCUAGUUAGAAUGAAAGACUCAAUCCAGGGACUUCCCUGGUGGCACAGUAGUGAAGAAUCCACCUGCCAAUGAAGGGGACGCGGGUUGGAGCCCUGGUCAGGGAAGGUCCCACAUGCCCCGGAGCAACUAAGCCCAUGCGCCACAACUACUGAGCCUGCGCUCUAGAUCCUGCGAGUCACCUCUACUGAGCCAGCAUGCCACAACUAUAGAAGCCUGCGUGCCUAGAGCCCGUGCUCCGCAAUGAGAGAAGCCACGGCAGUGAGAGGCCCGCGCACUACAACCAAGAGUAGCCCCCGCUCUCUGCAAGAAAGAAAGCCCACGUGCAGCAACGAAGACCCAACGCAGCCAAAAAUAAAUAAAUGAAUUUAUUUUUUAAAAAAAGUUAAGUGCAUUUAUGGAGAGAUGCAUUACAUUAAAGAAAAAAAAAAGGAAAGGAAAGAAAGACUCAAUCCGUCAUUUAGCUUUGACUUGAGUUAGUGAAUGGACUAGACAUGGGUUGUCCAGUACUGUAGCCGCCAACCACAGGUUGAAAUUCGGCUUAUUUGAACUGAGAUGUGCUCUGAGUGUAAAAAUGCACAAUGGAUUCUGAAGACGGAAUAAGAAAAAGCAAAUUUCAACUAUCUCAUUGAGAUCUUUCAAACAAUGUGUCGUCAGUGUAAAUACCUGUUGAAGUGAUAACAUUUUGCUGACUAAAAUUAUUUUGACUUGUU